AACCGAGUCUUAAUUGGGCGUUAAGUUGCAGGGUAUAGACCCGAAACCCGGUGAUCUAGCCAUGGGCAGGUUGAAGGUUGGGUAACACUAACUGGAGGACCGAACCGACUAAUGUUGAAAAAUUAGCGGAUGACCUGUGGCUGGGGGUGAAAGGCCAAUCAAACCGGGAGAUAGCUGGUUCUCCCCGAAAGCUAUUUAGGUAGCGCCUCGUGAAUUCAUCUCCGGGGGUAGAGCACUGUUUCGGCUAGGGGGCCAUCCCGGCUUACCAACCCGAUGCAAACUGCGAAUACCGGAGAAUGUUAUCACGGGAGACACACGGCGGGUGCUAACGUCCGUCGUGAAGAGGGAAACAACCCAGACCGCCAGCUAAGGUCCCAAAGUCAUGGUUAAGUGGGAAACGAUGUGGGAAGGCCCAGACAGCCAGGAUGUUGGCUUAGAAGCAGCCAUCAUUUAAAGAAAGCGUAAUAGCUCACUGGUCGAGUCGGCCUGCGCGGAAGAUGUAACGGGGCUAAACCAUGCACCGAAGCUGCGGCAGCGACACUCAGGUGUUGUUGG
RNAcentral lists this ribosomal RNA (555 nucleotides) under Salmonella enterica subsp. enterica serovar Eastbourne. RNAcentral describes it as "partial 23S ribosomal RNA". It matches the Rfam family "Bacterial large subunit ribosomal RNA", at positions 675 to 1227 of the family's 2925-position model. Lineage: Bacteria; Pseudomonadati; Pseudomonadota; Gammaproteobacteria; Enterobacterales; Enterobacteriaceae. The record is from RNAcentral.